UGGCGGACGGGUGAGUAACGCGUGGGGAACCUGCCCUGUACCGGGGGAUAGCAGCCGGAAACGGCUGAUAAUACCGCAUAAGCGCACGAAUGUCGCAUGACAUGGUGUGAAAAACUCCGGUGGUAUAGGAUGGACCCGCGUCUGAUUAGCCGGUUGGUGGGGUAAAAGCCUACCAAAGCGAAGAUCAGUAGCCGAGUUGAGAGACUGACCGGCCACAUUGGGACUGAGACACGGCCCAGACUCCUACGGGAGGCAGCAGGG
RNAcentral lists this ribosomal RNA (261 nucleotides) under uncultured bacterium. Its description in RNAcentral is "partial 16S ribosomal RNA". It matches the Rfam family "Bacterial small subunit ribosomal RNA", at positions 96 to 354 of the family's 1533-position model. The record is from RNAcentral.